This 1013-nucleotide long non-coding RNA is filed under the name Pelusios castaneus (West African mud turtle). Its description in RNAcentral is "lncRNA (ENSPCEG00000005506.1)". Lineage: Eukaryota; Metazoa; Chordata; Testudines; Pelomedusidae. The record is from RNAcentral.
CUUGCAGGCCAUCGCCUGCGCUGUGGGGGUUAGUGUGAGCCUGGGCCGGGGUGAGCCGGGAGGGUGGGUGGGUCGGCGCCCGCUCGCUCUGGAGGGGGUACACGGGUCGGAGGGAGGGCAUGCUGCCUGCUGGCUUGUCUGUUGACGCGGGUCCGUUUUCAUUACAUAGUCAUGGGGAGAGGGCUUUGGCAAGCAGCCUUCUCCGUUCCAGUGGUUAGGGCCCUUGCCUGGCGAGCUGAAGACCUGGGUUCGGUUCCUCCCUCCGGCUCCACUUUAUUUUUUUCAGGUGGCCGCACGUCUAAUUAAAGAGUCAUGGGGCCCAGAGCAGCAGUGGCUUCCAGAAGUCUCCUGUAGCACAUUGGAUUGGGUGCUGUUCCUGGGAGGAUUCUCCAUCCCUAAACCAGACCUGAUCUCCUGCCUGGAGCUGAGGGACCCUACAUGUGCCCAGACUGCGGGAAAGGAUUCAGCCUCCGCUUCAGUCUUGCCAUACAUUGAAGAGUCCACACAAGCAAGCGCCCCUUCUUGUGUCCUCACUGUGGGAUGGGCUUCAAUCGGAGAGCCAAACUCACCUCGCACCAGAGCACCGGCAGUGGGGACCGACCCACCUGCAAGCGGCUGGCACAGCACGGGAGGGCCCGGGCUGGGGAGAAGCUCUGCGUCUGUGCCGGCUGCGGGACACAGUUCAUGGACAAGUUUCAGAGCCGCGUUAGUCUGUUUUCAACAAAUCAAUGAGUAAACCUGUGGCACUUUAGAGACUAACAAAAAAAAUUGUUGGGGUGGGGAGGGCGUAAGCUUUCGUGGGCUGGACCCCACUUUGUCAGAGCCAUGAAGUAUUGAUCUUCUGUGUUUUAACGGUUCUGAACUUUAACUCUUUGAAUCUCAAUAUCUACUGUCAUUUAAUAACUAUUGCCUAGUCCCUCCUGUUGUCUACCCCCCCCCCCAUGCCCACUCCCAACACACAAUUUUCCUCACUGUGAAAAUAAUAAAAAUACAAUAAAAUCAGUGAAAUGCUU